AAAUCAACCCCCCUCCAUAUUCUCAAGGAGUAGAAUACAAGGGGAAACCUCUACCCAAGCCCCCAGUCGACAAAAACGCCCAAAAAGCCAAGGCAAAA
This 98-nucleotide non-coding RNA is filed under the name Protocruzia adhaerens. Lineage: Eukaryota; Ciliophora; Spirotrichea. The record is from RNAcentral.